AUUAGUUGGUAAAAGUCAAGAUGACAAAAUGGAUUUAUAAUUGAGAGUUGCAUAUUUAUUGCUUUGUCUAUGAUGGGUGAGUGGGAGAUGAUAGAGUUUGUUAUAUAUCUAAAUUGUCCAAAAUGUUCAGACUCAUGAGAUGAGAGUCAUUUCCCCACUUCUCUAUAACUAAUAUAGGUUAAGGUUCUAAGAUUGAUCUUCGAACCAACAUACCCUAUCCCUUCGAGCUUAUAAAUAUGGGGCUUGCAAAUCCAUAUGUUUUAUUAGAUAGGACUUUUAACUUGUAUACAAACAGUGUUACCUCUAUAGCAUUCUCCACCAUGAUAUCCCAUUGGAACAUUGUGAGAGCAUCUCAAAGUUUUGAAUCAGGUAUGUUUGACUUAAAUUAUUUGAUUGGUUUUUUGUUUUUUUAUGUUUUUGUUCUCAAUGUGUGAUAGUUGGAAAAGUACUUUAACCUUUUACACGUUUCUCGUAUUGUUAUUUAAGGUUUUUUAACUACAUACAACCAUACUAAAGCUAUAUGAUCAUUAACAGAAAAAAUAACAUGAAUCAAUCUCAAUUUGAAAAAAUAGAUUGAUUUUAAUCCCAAUAUAUAUCCCUUGAGCCAGAAAAAGUCAUGAGAUGGUUUGGACCACUACUAUGUUUUCCUUAUCUUGGGAGGUGCUAGGAUUUAAAGUUUGAAGAAGACACAUGCUUUAAAAAAGCAAAGCUGUUGAAGCAAACCCACAUCUAUUUCCUUUACCUUUAAUGAAUAUGCCUCCUACUAAAAUUGAAAACAAUCCCAUAUGAAAUGAAAAUGGAAGGCAUGGGUAAAGAUAAAUUAAUUCACCUCUACCACUUUAGGAAAUAGAAACCAAAAUUCAACCGGGAUAAAUCCAUUUUUUUUUCUUAUUUACUACUAGUCUUAGACGUGAUUUAGGAUAAUUUUACACUUUCGGUUUUAAUUAUAAUCUCUAAUCUUCAUUCUAAAAUAUAAAUAAUUUUUUCUUUUAUUUAUUUUUAUGUUGAACUCUUUUUAAAUUUAAAAACUUUUUUAUUGAAAUAAUUUUGAUAACAAUAAAAGUUAUUGUGGGCAUAAAAAACUAACUAUUAAUCCUUAAAUUAUUAUUUAUAUUUUUUUCAUUUAAUGCUACAUACACACACACACACACACACAUAUAUAUAUAUAUAUAUAUAUAUAUAUAUAUAUAUAUAUAUAUUUAAAAAAAAUAAUUUGAAGGUGUUAUUCUGAGAAGUUAAUAGAUUGUAAACAACAUAGCUAAAAAGAAAAAGUUGAGCUUUAGUUACUAAUAUGUUUUGUUCACAUUGAAAAUAUAACUCACAUUUGUAACGAGAAUCAUCUUGUCUACCUUUUCUCUAAAGAUGCAAUUUUAAAUUGUUAGAGUACAAUUGGAAAAGGGUGUCUGAAAGCACGUUAUUACUCAACUAAUUAACUUCAUUAUAUAGUCUCCAUUUAAUAGUUCACUACAACAAAUGUGGGUUUUUCCUUGUACUAACUUGUGCUUAAAAAAGAGCCUUUCAUGACAAAAAAAUUUUGUCUACAAAUUUUUUGUUUUUUAUUUUUAUUUUUAUUUUUAUUUUAUCUUUUUAUGGUGAGGUGUUGCUAUAAGUCCAUCAACAAUUAUUUUUAACCAUAAAAAAAUGAAUUUUAUAACCAAAAGCUAAAAUUUUGCCACAAAAUAAAAUUUGUGGCAACAUGUUAUUCUUCACCACUAGAUAAAAUUUGUGGCAACACCAUCACUUUUUACAACAAGACAAGUUCAUAGCAAAAAUGAAAAUUUUCCAUGAACACAAAAUUCAUGGUAAAAGGUCACCAUGAAAAAUAUUUAUAGUUACUAAUCAAAUUCCAUCAUAAAAGAAUUGUGGCAAAAGUUUAUUUUCAAUAAAAAAAUUUAUUUAUUUUUUCUAACGAUUCUAAAUUUAGUCUAUAUUUCCAUUAUGUAUUUAGUUCAAUUUAGUCAUUCUCAACUACAUGCCUUGUAAAUCUUGCUUCUAUUAUCAUUAUAUCUAAUAGUUUCAUUAGAAUUAUCUAGUUAUGUUCUAUUCUUUUUCAUACUUCAUCUAUUUGUUAGGCUGGUAAUUCCACUUUAGAUUCUAAUAUAGAGUGGGCUCACUGUCUCCUAGUGAGCCACUUUUUGGGUAGAUUAUUAUGUGUAGCGUUGUAUGCGGGGCAAAAGGAUAUAUGUUUUACUAUAGUUUUUAUUUUGAGAAAUAAAAAAGUCUUCCUUUUUUUAUUUAUAUUAUUAUAAAUAAUUAAAUAUAUUAUUGAUUUGGUAUCAAUCAAAUAUGCAAUCUAGAUCAUUCAAGUGUAAAGUAUAACCUAAGCCAUUGAAUAAUAGUAUAAAUAUAUGAGUCUCAUAAAUAAAAAAAAUUGAGAUUGAGGUACAAAGUAACAAAAUCAAGAUAUAAGGAAAUGAGGCCUAAACACAAACUAAUUGAAACAUUCAAAAGUCAUAAGUUAAUACAACUUUUUUUUUAAUAUAUUAUAUUUUGUUACUAACACUUUUUGAUAUAGUAACAAAAAAAAAGGUCUUUUUGACAUGUACUAAUGAAUAUCCCAAUUAUUAUUUCUUAAAUUUUGGAUCAUGUUCUAUAUAUCAAUAUGGAUAUGGCAAUUAUCUAUUAGCUCUAAUUGACUGUUACCAUUAUAGGAAAAGAUAGGAGGAACUUGUAACUAAAAAAACUUAAGUUAUAUUCUCUCCAUCCCAUUGUUGAAAAUAUUGAGAGAUGUUACUUAAGAUAAGGCAGAACUGUUUAAUGAAUUCGAAGCUAGAGAAAGUAGCGAGCAAGCCACCCAUAAAUAAAUAUAUGCUGUAAUGUUAUUUUCAUGUGCAGGUGAGUGGAAACUCCAUAUAUUUUUUGGACUUGUAUGGAACUGUGAAG
RNAcentral lists this long non-coding RNA (2883 nucleotides) under Vitis vinifera (wine grape). RNAcentral describes it as "long non-coding RNA (VVIN_LNC000744)". Lineage: Eukaryota; Viridiplantae; Streptophyta; Magnoliopsida; Vitales; Vitaceae. The record is from RNAcentral.